GGUUUAUAUAGUUUAUAUUAAAAUAUUGAAUUGCAAAUUCAAAGAAGCAUUAAGGUGUUUAAACUU
Molecule: transfer RNA, 66 nt
Filed under: Euprymna sp. Type 1 GS-2021
Lineage: Eukaryota; Metazoa; Mollusca; Cephalopoda; Sepiida; Sepiolidae
Description: tRNA-Cys
Source: RNAcentral